CCAAAGUUGUCUCAAUAUGAUAAAAUCUCAACUGUUAACUUUAGCCUAAAAUGUGCACAGCGUUUAAGUUUAACAUGCUAACACACUAUAAUUAACAUCACAUAUGAUAACUAAAUUAGGCCCAUGCUUUACCUUGUUCUAAUAUUCAGUUUUUAACCAAAAAGUUCUUUUAGAACUUUUAUCGAACACUUGGUAGGCAUAGUUUCAGGCUAUCAGUUUCACAACCACUUGUUUAUGUCACCAACCCAUUUCAUUCUCCUUAUAUCUCCUCAGCCCAACCUAAACCCCUUUGUUCUAACUCAGCCCACAGCAGUCAAAUACACCGCAAAGUUCAUAUCUAAUCAACGAAUUAGUAGCUAGUUAGUUCAUGCUACCAUUAUACAAUCACAUUAGAUUCAAAUUGAUGCAAUAUAAACUGAACAUAGACUUCAAACAUAGCACAGUUGCUUAGAACAUUAGUUAGCUAGUCCUUUUGUUUUGAUUUCCUUCUUUAGUCCUUAAUCUCCAAUGUCCUCUGCUAUAAUUGUGUUCUCCUUUAAUUUACUCAAGCGUUUGCCCCAGCACAAUCAUGAACUUCACUCAUCCAGGCUCUAGCUAAGUGAGGAAAUCAGGAUUUUCUUAUGAGAGAGUUUGACGGCUGAACAGGGAGAUAAGAAGAGUAACCUUGCCUUUAUAUAAACUCAAUCCUUACUCCUCACGAAUUGUACCUGCUCUCCCAUUAAUAGGCAUGCUGAGUUUGCAAAGCUAUCCUAACACAUUCAUGCCAGCUCCUGCUAAUACCACUUGAAGUUGAAGGUUACUCCUUCAAUUACAACUUCCCAGCUCAUGCUAAUCCUUUUUUAAUUGCUAAGUUUUAAUCUAACGCUGUGUUUGGUUAGAAUAACCAAUUAUCUCCCUUUCCGUACAUAUCACAUAGCAAAAACUGCAUUUUAACUAAACUGAAUACACU
This 949-nucleotide long non-coding RNA is filed under the name Panax ginseng (ginseng). RNAcentral describes it as "long non-coding RNA (PGIN_LNC000139)". The record is from RNAcentral. Lineage: Eukaryota; Viridiplantae; Streptophyta; Magnoliopsida; Apiales; Araliaceae.